Sorex araneus (European shrew) is the source of this 3366-nucleotide RNA transcript. It is a transcript of the gene named TANK binding kinase 1, with no coding region annotated. The transcript has 20 exons. The record is from RefSeq and is a predicted model, not a curated record. NCBI's taxonomy places the organism in Eukaryota, Metazoa, Chordata, Mammalia, Eulipotyphla, Soricidae.
CUCCCGCUGGAGACGUCUCUCUUGGCGGCUGUUUCCUAUUUGUGACGAGGUGGUUUGGGUUUUUUGUUCUUGCUCAUUUCGAACAAACUGUGUGUCCGUGGUUUGGUUGGUGAAAUUAUAAGGACGUCUUGAAUGAUCCGAAGUUGGUGACACUUAGACCCACGGCCAUUCUUUAUGUUCCCAGUCCUAAUUUAGAUGUUGGUGUGUUCCGGUUACCGUUGACGGUAACACCGCAGGUGCCGCGGUGGGACUAGUGCUUAUCCUGUAUUGCAUUGAUUACAAUUCCGACAUGAAAUUCAGAUAUUUUUACUAUACAUCCAGAAUCGCCUGAUCAAGCCGAGAUGCAGAGCACUUCCAAUCAUCUGUGGCUUUUAUCUGACAUUUUGGGUCAAGGAGCUACUGCAAAUGUCUUUCGGGGAAGACAUAAGAAAACUGGUGACUUAUUUGCUAUUAAAGUUUUUAAUAACAUAAGCUUCCUUCGUCCAGUGGAUGUUCAAAUGAGAGAAUUUGAAGUGUUAAAGAAACUCAAUCACAAAAAUAUUGUCAAAUUAUUUGCUAUUGAAGAGGAGACAACAACAAGACAUAAGGUACUUGUUAUGGAAUUUUGUCCAUGCGGAAGUUUAUACACUGUUUUAGAAGAGCCUUCUAAUGCCUAUGGACUACCAGAGUCUGAAUUUUUAAUUGUUUUGCGAGAUGUGGUGGGUGGAAUGAAUCAUCUCCGAGAGAAUGGCAUAGUGCAUCGUGAUAUCAAGCCAGGAAAUAUUAUGCGUGUUAUAGGGGAAGAUGGACAGUCUGUAUACAAACUGACAGAUUUUGGUGCAGCUAGAGAAUUAGAAGAUGAUGAGCAAUUUGUUUCUCUGUAUGGCACUGAAGAAUAUUUGCAUCCUGAUAUGUAUGAGAGAGCAGUGCUAAGAAAAGAUCAUCAAAAGAAAUAUGGAGCAACUGUUGAUCUUUGGAGCAUUGGGGUAACAUUUUACCAUGCAGCUACUGGAUCACUGCCAUUUAGACCAUUUGAAGGACCACGUAGAAAUAAGGAAGUGAUGUAUAAAAUAAUCACAGGGAAGCCUUCAGGCGCAAUAUCCGGAGUGCAGAAAGCCGAGAACGGCCCGAUCGACUGGAGUGGAGACAUGCCUGCAUCCUGCAGUCUCUCCCGGGGUCUUCAGGUUCUACUUACCCCUGUUCUUGCAAACAUCCUUGAGGCAGAUCAGGAAAAGUGUUGGGGUUUUGACCAGUUUUUUGCAGAAACAAGUGAUAUACUUCACCGAAUGAUAAUUCAUGUUUUUUCACUACAACAUAUGACAGCUCAUAAGAUUUAUAUUCAUACUUACAAUACUGCUACUGUAUUUCAUGAACUGGUAUAUAAACAAACCAAAAUCAUUUCUUCCAACCAAGAACUUAUAUAUGAAGGACGACGCUUAGUUCUAGAACCUGGAAAACUGGCACAGAAUUUUCCUAAAACUACUGAGGAAAAUCCAAUCUUCGUUGUAAGCCGGGAGCCUCAAAAAAUCAUAGGAUUGAUAUACGAAAAAAUUUCCCUCCCUAAGAUUCAUCCGCGCUAUGACUUAGAUGGGGAUGCUAGCAUGGCAAAGGCAUUCACUGGAGUUGUGUGUUAUGCAUGUAGAAUUGCCAGUACAUUGUUGCUUUAUCAGGAAUUAAUGCGGAAGGGGAUACGAUGGUUGAUAGAAUUAGUUAAAGAUGACUAUAAUGAAACUGUUCACAAAAAGACAGAAGUUGUGAUCACAUUGGAUUUCUGCAUCAGAAACAUUGAAAAAACUGUGAAAGUAUAUGAAAAGUUGAUGAAAAUCAAUUUAGAAGCAGCAGAGUUAGGGGAAAUUUCUGAUAUACACACAAAAUUGUUGAGACUUUCCAGUUCUCAGGGAACCAUAGAGACCAGUCUCCAGGAUAUUGAAAGCAGAUUGUCUCCAGGUGGACUGCUGGCGGAUACGUGGGCCCAUCAAGAAGGCACGCAUCCAAAAGAUAGACAUGUUGAAAAGCUACAAGUUCUCCUAAAUUGCAUCACAGAGAUUUACUAUCAGUUCAAAAAAGACAAAGCAGAACGUAGAUUAGCUUAUAAUGAAGAACAAAUCCACAAAUUUGAUAAGCAAAAAUUAUAUUACCAGGCAACAAAAGCUCUGACCCACUUCACAGAUGAGUGUGUUAAAAAGUAUGAUGCAUUUUUGGAUAAAUCAGAAGACUGGAUGAGGCAAGUGAACACUUGAAGGGUGAUUAGUGUUGACUGCACAACUUGUAAUGUUCAUUGUGUAUUUUAAAUAAUAAUUUUAUUAACUGAUACUUUUUGGUUUUCAGAAAGAUGCUUCAUCUAAGGAAACAAUUAUUAUCACUAACUAAUCAGUGUUUUGAUAUUGAAGAAGAAGUAUCAAAGUAUCAAGACUAUACUAAUGAGUUACAAGAAACUUUACCUCAGAAAAUGUUUGCCGCCUCCAGUGGAAUGAAACAUACCAUGACCCCAGUUUAUCCAUGUUCCAACACAUUAGUGGAAAUGACUCUUGGUAUGAAGAAAUUAAAAGAAGAAAUGGAAGGAGUGGUUAAAGAACUUGCUGAAAAUAAUCAUAUUUUAGAAAGGUUUGGCUCUUUAACAAUGGAUGGUGGCCUUCGCAAUGUUGACUGUCUUUAGCUUUCUAAGGAGUUUGAGAAAACUUCCACUUUGCACAAGAAAAUAAAGCUGAGACGUUAAAUGAAUAAUUCUAUAGGUGAUCUCCUGUUUCUACAAUUCAGUAUUUGUUGUGAUUGUGUAAAUAUGUACAGUAUUGUAAAUACAUACAAAGUAUAUAAAUUUUUGGCUGCUGUUAAGAUGUAAUUUUACCUUUUAAUCUUUAUAUGAGGAUAUUUGACCUCAGUGAGCACUCAAGAAAGCCAUGACAGUUACACUCGAGAUACUGAUCCUUCGCUUUUCUGAGUAGGGCUAUGUCUUAGGUCUCUGAUUGCCUUCUGGAAACAUUUCACCUGGAGCCAAAGCUGGCAUCCUUACACAUCAGAAAAAAACUGACAGUUGACAGUUUUAAGUGGUAGAAAGGAGAGGUUGCUUCUGUGAGUGAGGAACCAAACCGAACCACUGUUUAUUACUAGGGUCACAAUUUUUUUGAGAAGGAUGAAUGACAUCAUUUCAUUUUUUUUUAAAUGCCCAGAUCCCAGUUAUCCUUGUAUUGGUUUAAUUUCAAAUAAAUUAUUGAGCAAAUUUUUUUAACGAUUUAAUUAUUAAAGUCUAUUUUUUAUUUUUAGCCAUAAAUGUAUAAUUGUCAUGAAGAUUUAGGAUGAUUUCAACUAUUUAAAGCUGUAUAUUUCUUCUUUAAUUCUGCUUAUCACCUCAUGAAAAAGUACCAAUAAAUUUCUCAAUUUUAAUGUAAA